CGCGUAGGCGGGCACGCAAGUCUGCGGUGAAAUCCUCCAGCUUAACUGGAGAAGUGCCGUGGAUACUGCGUGCCUCGAGGAGGGUAGGGGCAUCUGGAACGUUGGGUGGAGCGGUGAAAUGCGUUGAUAUCCAACGGAACUCCGGUGGCGAAGGCGAGGUGCUGGACCCUUUCUGACGCUGAGGCGCGAAAGCCAGGGGAGCAACG
RNAcentral lists this ribosomal RNA (206 nucleotides) under uncultured bacterium. RNAcentral describes it as "partial 16S ribosomal RNA". It matches the Rfam family "Bacterial small subunit ribosomal RNA", at positions 568 to 773 of the family's 1533-position model. The record is from RNAcentral.